AUUGAACGCUGGCGGCAUGCCUAACACAUGCAAGUCGAACGGCAGCACAGUGUGUAGCAAUACACAUGGGUGGCGAGUGGCGGACGGGUGAGUAAUGCAUGGGAAUCUGCCCAGUAGCGGGGGACAACUCGGGGAAACUCGAGCUAAUACCGCAUACGCCUACGGGAAGAGGGACGCAGCUCUCACUAUGGAUGAGCCCAUGUCGGAUAGUCUAGUUGGUGAGGUAACGGCUCACCAAGGCAACGAUCCGUAGCUGGUCUGAGAGGACGGACCAGCCACACCGGAACUGAGACACGGUCCGGACUCCUACGGGAGGCAGCAGUGGGGAAUAUUGGACAA
Molecule: ribosomal RNA, 339 nt
Filed under: uncultured bacterium
Lineage: Bacteria
Description: partial 16S ribosomal RNA
Rfam family: Bacterial small subunit ribosomal RNA
Source: RNAcentral